GACGAGCGCUGGCGGCGUGCUUAACACAUGCAAGUCGAACGGAAAGGCCCUGCUUUUGUGGGGUGCUCGAGUGGCGAACGGGUGAGUAACACGUGAGUAACCUGCCCUUGACUUUGGGAUAACUUCAGGAAACUGGGGCUAAUACCGGAUAGGAGCUCCUGCUGCAUGGUGGGGGUUGGAAAGUUUCGGCGGUUGGGGAUGGACUCGCGGCUUAUCAGCUUGUUGGUGGGGUAGUGGCUUACCAAGGCUUUGACGGGUAGCCGGCCUGAGAGGGUGACCGGCCACAUGGGGACGGAGAUACGGCCCAGACUCCUACGGGAGGCAGCAGUGGGGAAUAUUGCACAAUGGGCGGAAGCCUGAUGCAGCAACGCCGCGUGCGGGAUGACGGCCUUCGGGUUGUAAACCGCUUUCGCCUGUGACGAAGCGUGAGUGACGGUAAUGGGUAAAGAAGCACCGGCUAACUACGUG
Molecule: ribosomal RNA, 468 nt
Filed under: uncultured bacterium
Lineage: Bacteria
Description: partial 16S ribosomal RNA
Rfam family: Bacterial small subunit ribosomal RNA
Source: RNAcentral